This 518-nucleotide ribosomal RNA is filed under the name uncultured Burkholderia sp. RNAcentral describes it as "bacterial SSU rRNA". It matches the Rfam family "Bacterial small subunit ribosomal RNA", at positions 8 to 507 of the family's 1533-position model. The record is from RNAcentral. Lineage: Bacteria; Pseudomonadati; Pseudomonadota; Betaproteobacteria; Burkholderiales; Burkholderiaceae.
AGAGUUUGAUCCAGGCUCAAUUGAACGCUGGCGGCAUGCUUUACACAUGCAAGUCGAGCGGCAGCGCGGGGUUUGGGCAACCGAGUCCUGGCGGCGAGCGGCGAAAGGGUGAGUAACACAUCGGAACGUAUCCCGUAAUGGGGGAUAACCCGGCGAAAGCCGGGCUAAUACCGCAGAUGCUCUACGGAGGAAAGUGGGGGACUCAGCAGGCAGGCCUCACGCUAUGGGAGCGGCCGAUGGCCGAUUAUCUAGUUGGCGGGGUAAAGGCCCACCAAGGCGACAAUCGGUAGCUGGUCUGAAAGGAUGAUCAGCCACACUGGGACUGAGACACGGCCCAGACUCCUACGGGAGGCAGCAGUGGGGAAUUUUGGACAAUGGGGGCAACCCUGAUCCAGCCCUGCCGCGUGCGGGAAGAAGGCCUUCGGGUUGUAAACCGCUUUUAGUCGGGAAGAAAGGGCGCUCCUGAAUACGGAGUGUCUAUGACGGUACCGGCGGAAUAAGCACCGGCUAACUACGUG